Rhincodon typus (whale shark) is the source of this 419-nucleotide long non-coding RNA. RefSeq lists it as uncharacterized. Lineage: Eukaryota; Metazoa; Chordata; Chondrichthyes; Orectolobiformes; Rhincodontidae. The transcript is spliced from 3 exons. The record is from RefSeq and is a predicted model, not a curated record.
GCUGGACUAUGCAAAACGGUCGCGUUGUGUUAAAAAUAUAAAACGAAACAGAUAUUACCAAUUUGUUUCGCCCCGUGGACUUUCAUUAACCACUGCCAUAACUAUAAUAACCUGAUAAAGAUUAAGGAGGAACAAGGAGAAAUGAAGAAAAUGAAGAAGAAAAAGAAUGGAAAGAAACCAAAUGUUUCCAUCAUAAUUGAAAAGUUUUUGAAAAGUUACAGAUGGCACUGUACUCAGACCUCCAGCGCUGUCAGCUCAAUGCUGAUACAAAGUCUGCAGAAAUGUAUUGAAAAUGAACAUAUGCUCACAAAGUUUAUACUUGCACGUCCUGAGGCAACUGCAGUUGAUUUGCCACCAGUCACUUUGCAGCCAUUGCUAAUGACAAUCCGAGAUGAACGUUACAUGUAUGGGAAAGAAUU